RNAcentral lists this ribosomal RNA (459 nucleotides) under uncultured bacterium. RNAcentral describes it as "partial 16S ribosomal RNA". It matches the Rfam family "Bacterial small subunit ribosomal RNA", at positions 338 to 795 of the family's 1533-position model. The record is from RNAcentral.
CCUACGGGAGGCAGCAGUGAGGAAUAUUGGUCAAUGGGCGAGAGCCUGAACCAGCCAAGUCGCGUGAGGGAAGACGGUCCUAUGGAUUGUAAACCUCUUUUGCCGGGGAGCAAAAAGCGGUACGUGUACCGCAUCGAGAGUACCCGGAGAAAAAGCAUCGGCUAACUCCGUGCCAGCAGCCGCGGUAAUACGGAGGAUGCGAGCGUUAUCCGGAUUUAUUGGGUUUAAAGGGUGCGCAGGCGGCGAGUUAAGUCAGCGGUAAAAUUUCGGGGCUCAACCCCGACGAGACGUUGAAACUGGCGUGCUAGAGUGGGCGAGAAGUAUGCGGAAUGCGUGGUGUAGCGGUGAAAUGCAUAGAUAUCACGCAGAACUCCGAUUGCGAAGGCAGCAUACCGGCGCCCAACUGACGCUCAGGCACGAAAGCGUGGGUAUCGAACAGGAUUAGAUACCCGAGUAGUC